This is a non-coding RNA of Misgurnus anguillicaudatus (oriental weatherfish), 443 nucleotides long. The record is from RefSeq and is a predicted model, not a curated record. Lineage: Eukaryota; Metazoa; Chordata; Actinopteri; Cypriniformes; Cobitidae.
UACCAAAUUAAGUCAUGUGUUGUAUAUUAACCAGUCUAUCAGAAUUUUUUUUGCUAAAUGUAUUAUUUAUACGUCAUUACACGGCUCUAUUAAAUACUAUUGAAUUAUCCUCAUCUUAUCCAUUGGGAGUGUCAUUGUUAAGGCAGUAGUACCAGUAAAUAACCAAUAGGUGUCAGUAAUCCGCGGGAGAGCUUCGCUGCAUAUUUCUCUUCAAGAUUGAGAAUCGCAACGAAAUCCUCGUCGAGCAACACGUCCACUGAGCAACCAUGUCUGUGUCCUUAAAGGAACUCUGUCAGGUACAGAUUAGAACUAUGAACUUGAAAAUCAACCAUUCUGAUGACUGGCGUCCCCAUCCGAGUCACCACCUCAGACAACAACAGUCAUAAACUCACAAACACAAAUACACUCAGUAAUGCGCUUAAUAAAGAAAGACUUAACUAUGA